AUACGAAGGGCCCGAGCGUUGCGCGGAAUCAUUGGGCUUAAAGGGUGCGUAGGCGGACCUGCAAGUACUUUGUGAAAGCCCACGGCUUAACCGUGGAACUGCUUGGUAGACUGCAGGUCUUGAGCUCGGCAGAGGCGGUCGGAACUCUAGGUGGAGCGGUGAAAUGCGUAGAUAUCUAGAGGAACGCCGGAGGCGAAAGCGGCUCUCUGGCCAAUUACUGACGCUGAGGCGCGAAAGCUAGGGUAGCAAACAGGAUUAGAAACCCUAGUAGUCC
Molecule: ribosomal RNA, 274 nt
Filed under: uncultured bacterium
Lineage: Bacteria
Description: partial 16S ribosomal RNA
Rfam family: Bacterial small subunit ribosomal RNA
Source: RNAcentral